Molecule: ribosomal RNA, 822 nt
Filed under: uncultured Bacteroidota bacterium
Lineage: Bacteria; Pseudomonadati; Bacteroidota
Description: bacterial SSU rRNA
Rfam family: Bacterial small subunit ribosomal RNA
Source: RNAcentral
CAAUACAUGGGUGGCGACCGGCGCACGGGUGCGUAACACGUAUGGAAUCUGCCCUUUACUGGAGGAUAGCCCGGAGAAAUCCGGAUUAAUACUCCAUAACAAGCGAGGUGGCAUCAUCUUGCUUUGAAAACUCCGGCGGUAAAGGAUGACCAUGCGCACGAUUAGCUAGUUGGUGAGGUAACGGCUCACCAAGGCGACGAUCGUUAGGGGGCCUGAGAGGGUUAUCCCCCACACUGGUACUGAGACACGGACCAGACUCCUACGGGAGGCAGCAGUGAGGAAUAUUGCGCAAUGGAGGCAACUCUGACGCAGCCAUGCCGCGUGCAGGAAGAAGGCGCUACGCGUUGUAAACUGCUUUUAUCCGGGAAGAAACCCCUCUACGUGUGGAGGGUUGACGGUACCGGAGGAAUAAGCACCGGCUAACUUCGUGCCAGCAGCCGCGGUAAUACGAAGGGUGCAAGCGUUAUCCGGAUUCAUUGGGUUUAAAGGGUGCGUAGGUGGGGCGUUAAGUCAGUGGUGAAAUCCUGCAGCUCAACUGUAGACUUGCCAUUGAUACUGGCGCUCUUGAGUGCGCUUGAAGUAGGCGGAAUGUGCCGUGUAGCGGUGAAAUGCUUAGAUAUGGCACAGAACACCAAUUGCGAAGGCAGCUUACUAAGGCGAUACUGACACUGAGGCACGAAAGCGUGGGGAUCGAACAGGAUUAGAUACCCUGGUAGUCCACGCCGUAAACGAUGAUCACUCGAGAUUGGCGAUAUACGGUCAGUCUCCUAGCGAAAGCGUUAAGUGAUCCACCUGGGGAGUACGAUCGCAAGAUUGAAACUC